CCACCAUCUUGCCGGAGAGCAGAUUUUUAGGAGUUACCUUUCCUUCUGAUCUAAUGUCUCGCAUUAAAAAGGGCUACUCUAAAGAUCCAGUCUUUCGUGAUCCCCCUCGUGAUCUUCAUAUGACCAUGCUUAAUGGGUUUUGGAUUUUUCAACAACGUCUGUUUGUUCCAGAAUCAGUGCGACUGGACGUUUUACGCCUCUACCAUGAC
Non-coding RNA from Pelobates cultripes (western spadefoot toad), 209 nucleotides. Lineage: Eukaryota; Metazoa; Chordata; Amphibia; Anura; Pelobatidae. The record is from the annotation of a GenBank genome assembly.